This 253-nucleotide ribosomal RNA is filed under the name uncultured bacterium. RNAcentral describes it as "partial 16S ribosomal RNA". It matches the Rfam family "Bacterial small subunit ribosomal RNA", at positions 524 to 775 of the family's 1533-position model. The record is from RNAcentral.
UACGGAGGGGCUAGCGUUGUUCGGAAUUACUGGGCGUAAAGCGCACGUAGGCGGCUUUGUAAGUUAGAGGUGAAAGCCCAGGGCUUAACCCUGGAAUUGCCUUUAAGACUGCAUCGCUAGAAUCGUGGAGAGGUGAGUGGAAUUCCGAGUGUGAGAGGUGAAAUUCGUAGAUAUUGGGAAGAACACCAGUGGCGAAGGCGACUCACUGGACACGUAUUGACGCUGAGGUGGCGAAAGCGUGGGGAGCAACAGG